GAAAGGAGAAAUUAACGCAAUCAAGUUAGCUGGAGGUAUUUGUGCCAGCGUUUCAGCUAUUAUUGCCAUAAUUGCUGUGGCAAUCGUGUGUUUCAGGCGGCGAAAACUUCAACACAACACAAAAGGUUAUUCUGAUUUUUCGAAACCUACUAAGAUAGAGUCAAAAUUGAACAACAGGCUUGACAACAACGAUCGGGCUAAGAGUGACAAACAGAUCGCCGUCGACGAAAAAAUUCAAGUCGCAUCUAAAGAUGGCAGCAUCACAUUGACUGGUGCAGGAAAUGCAGGCCCAAGUGAUGACCACGAUUAUUACAGCUUCAAUGCACUUUUCCCGGGAAUAAAACUUCAUGAUCUCUGGGACUACAUUCACGAG
Dreissena polymorpha is the source of this 373-nucleotide long non-coding RNA. RefSeq lists it as uncharacterized. The transcript has 3 exons. NCBI's taxonomy places the organism in Eukaryota, Metazoa, Mollusca, Bivalvia, Myida, Dreissenidae. The record is from RefSeq and is a predicted model, not a curated record.